RNAcentral lists this ribosomal RNA (497 nucleotides) under uncultured bacterium. Its description in RNAcentral is "partial 16S ribosomal RNA". It matches the Rfam family "Bacterial small subunit ribosomal RNA", at positions 28 to 507 of the family's 1533-position model. The record is from RNAcentral.
GAUGAACGCUGGCGGCGUGCCUAAUACAUGCAAGUCGAGCGAACAGACGAGGAGCUUGCUCCUCUGACGUUAGCGGCGGACGGGUGAGUAACACGUGGAUAACCUACCUAUAAGACUGGGAUAACUUCGGGAAACCGGAGCUAAUACCGGAUAAUAUAUUGAACCGCAUGGUUCAAUAGUGAAAGACGGUUUUGCUGUCACUUAUAGAUGGAUCCGCGCCGCAUUAGCUAGUUGGUAAGGUAAAGGCUUACCAAGGCAACGAUGCGUAGCCGACCUGAGAGGGGGAUCGGCCACACGGGAACUGAGACACGGUCCAGACUCCUACGGGAGGCAGCAGUAGGGAAUCUUCCGCAAUGGGCGAAAGCUUGACGGAGCAACGCCGCGUGAGUGAUGAAGGUCUUCGGAUCGUAAAACUCUGUUAUUAGGGAAGAACAAAUGUGUAAGUAACUAUGCACGUCUUGACGGUACCUAAUCAGAAAGCCACGGCUAACUACGUG